Long non-coding RNA from Cucurbita moschata (crookneck pumpkin), 323 nucleotides. RefSeq lists it as uncharacterized. Lineage: Eukaryota; Viridiplantae; Streptophyta; Magnoliopsida; Cucurbitales; Cucurbitaceae. The record is from RefSeq and is a predicted model, not a curated record. The transcript has 2 exons.
CCAUUGAAAAACAACAACAUUUCCCAUUCAAAAUUUUCUUUAUAUAGCCUCAAAAUUUGCUCAAGAACUCAUCGCUUGUUGAAAAGAGAGAAAAAUUGGAGAAAAAAUGGUGAGGAUCACUCCUAAGGUUGCAAUGGUGAGCGUCAUGUUCGUGUUGCUACUCACAAGCUCUUGCUUCCUUAUUCAUGCCAACCGACCCUUGCUUCAAGUGAAGAAUCAACACCAAUUUGAGAUUGAGGAUGAUAAUAAAGUUGAUGUGAAUAAUAAACAUCACGAGUGUCCUCGGAGUAGUUAUCCGUGUUGGAAGAUAGAUGCAGACGCUG